GUGGAGUUUGGGAUCUGAGCUUGGAGCCCAUUUGUUUCUGGCAGUUCCGCUCAUAUUUUCCACUUGAAGACAUCGCCUCCCUUCCUUCCAAGCUGGGAGACCAGAAGUCAACAACAGGAGGGUGGAGAGGCCGGGUCUCACAAUCCGCUUGGCUGGGGAGUCCACUGAGGUUCUUGCAUCCUGAAGCAAACCAUGGAGAGCUGGUGGGGACUUCCCUGUCUUGCGUUCCUGUGUUUUCUAAUGCACGCCCGAGGUCAAAGAGACUUUGAUUUGGCAGAUGCCCUUGAUGACCCUGAACCCACCAAGAAGCCAAACUCAGGUCUUGUUGCCUUCGUUCCCCGGUACUACUGAAUCGUCCAGUUUAAGAGGGAUAAAGUGGCGUCGCACAGGAGCGAGGAUGGAGAGCGGCGACUAGGCGGCUAUGGAGAGGUACAGCGUCCAGUUGCGCCCAGCCACACUGCAGGACGCCGCCCCCGCCACACUACACCUGAUACCCUGCGGCCCACCACGGUGUGGCGCUUCAUCACGCCUGCCAUCCGCCAGGGCCCCGAGGGACUCUUAAGUGUAGUUUCGGGGCCGCAGUCUACGGGGCGACGAGGUGGCAGUGCCGUCCGGCCUCGUGGGAUACGUGAUGGUGACUGAACAGGAGGAGGUGUCGAUGGGGAAGCCAGACCCCUGGCGGGGUUCCGGGAGUGACAACCAAGAAGAGGAACCUCUGGAGCGGGACUUUGACCGCUUCCUCGGAACCACUACCAGCUUCAGCCGCUUCACCCUGUAGGGCAUGGGGCUUCACCCUGUGGGGCACCCUGUGGGGCUUCCUUGGCCCGGAAGCCAAACUGCGUGGGGCCUUAACUUGGCCCAGCCUCGCGGCAACGAUUCACGCGCAGGUGCCCAAGGACACAGAACCAGAGCUUGAAAUUCAAAGCCGCGAACCCUUUACAGCAGUAAACCAGCUCCUUACUUUGUAGCCACUGGUUCCAUCACCCCAGUAAAGGAGUUCUUCACAGCACACAUUCACAAAAGAUAAAGUGGUGAAUUUUAUAUUCUUAUAUACAUAUGUCCAACCAUCUAUAUGUUUUUAAGAAGGCAAAAAAGACCUCCCAGAUGCAUAUAUUACAGGACGGGGUGUGUGAGGAGACUCACUUGGGGGUGGCAGUCAACAAAAUUUAAAUAAAGACACGAGAUUUUAUUAUUUUUCUGUCUACAGCUCCUAGGAUAGUGUGUGACAUGUAGUAGGUUCUCAGUAUACUUCUCUGGUACUUAAAUUAAUGAAAUGUGUAAACAUGCCUCUGGGUUCAGAAAAACAAACUCAACCACUUAAAAAAAAAAAAAGGAAAAAAGUGUUGGUUCUCCUGUAAAGUAAUAAACCUACAUGCAAAAAUAAGGAUGCAGGGGGAGGCCGAGAGCAUUAAAUUUGCCUCUAUAAUAUCAUAUCAACACAUUUUAAUCUCUCAACCAGGGCUAAUAAUUCACUCACUGUCUCCAGGGGACU
This 1492-nucleotide small RNA is filed under the name Homo sapiens (human). The record is from RNAcentral. Lineage: Eukaryota; Metazoa; Chordata; Mammalia; Primates; Hominidae.